Molecule: ribosomal RNA, 492 nt
Filed under: uncultured bacterium
Lineage: Bacteria
Description: partial 16S ribosomal RNA
Rfam family: Bacterial small subunit ribosomal RNA
Source: RNAcentral
AGUGAACGCUGGCGGUAGGCCUAACACAUGCGAGUCGAACGGCAGCACAGUAAGAGCUUGCUCUUACGGGUGGCGAGUGGCGGACGGGUGAGGAAUACAUCGGAAUCUACUUUUUCGUGGGGGAUAACGUAGGGAAACUUACGCUAAUACCGCAUACGACCUACGGGUGAAAGCAGGGGAUCUUCGGACCUUGCGCGAUUGAAUGAGCCGAUGUCGGAUUAGCUAGUUGGCGGGGUAAAGGCCCACCAAGGCGACGAUCCGUAGCUGGUCUGAGAGGAUGAUCAGCCACACUGGAACUGAGACACGGUCCAGACUCCUACGGGAGGCAGCAGUGGGGAAUAUUGGACAAUGGGCGCAAGCCUGAUCCAGCCAGACCGCGUGGGUGAAGAAGGCCUUCGGGUUGUAAAGCCCUUUUGUUGGGAAAGAAAAGCAGCAGGUUAAUACCCCGCUGUUCUGACGGUACCCAAAGAAUAAGCACCGGCUAAUUUCGUG